CCCUCCUUUUCUCUCUCCCUGUAGCCCUCCCUCCCUCUCUUUCUCUCACACACACACCACCCUGCUCAGCGACCCAGCGCUCCCCAAACAGGACCCUCGCGGGCGGCAUCGCGAGGGACACGCUGCUGUCCUAACCUUAGCGCCACUCGGGGAGAAUGAAGGAGGCCCACCGAGCCCCCGACAAAGCUGCAAAACCCAGGAGACGCGCACGCGGGACCAUCACACUGUCAAGCAGACCGGGCCUUCACUCAGGGAGCGCUUCCCCCUCGGCGCAGACCGAGCCUCCUCCGAUUUGAAACUCAGCAGCUGUUUUAACAAUUGAAAAAGCGGCCCUACAGGACCAGUGAAACGGAGCAGAGUGUGUGAAGCCAUUAAGGCUGACUAGGUAAUUAUGAUAAAAAGUUACCUAAUUAGCAACCUGGCCUGGGCUUAGGAAAACCAAGAAAAAAAAAGUACCGAAUGAUUUGGUGAUCUCAUUUUUGCAACUGAGAACCUGAUUUCCAGCAAACCUGGUUUUAUAUAAGUUCUAAUAAUAUAUAAUUAUUUAUUAAGAUAUAGUGUCAGUAUUGAAAACACUAGUUCUGUUAUUGCCACAAUGAAAUUAAGGUAGGUAGGAUGAAAAUCAGCCUUAUCCCGGUCAUAUUAAGAACUAUGAUCUUUUUUGCUAAACAGUUGGUCACAGAGGGUGGACCAAUGCAGCUCCUAAAGUUUUGUGGUUCCUAGAUGAAAACACUGCAGGAAAUGGAUUUAUAAAACCGUUUACACGACAUAAAAUAGUUUUGUAAAAUUUUUAAACACUGAAAAGGACAUUUCAGAUCACUGUGCAAGCAUAUUUUUUGCAGAUGAGACAAUGAGGUGAGAAAAGUCCUCAUUGUAUCUCCACUUAGGAGAUACGAUCUAGAGCAGAUCCCUGGGUCAUUCAUUAACAAAGCUUACGAAGUCCCUGCUGUGUACCAGGCACAGCUAAAGAAGAACACUCUUUCAUGUGAGCAGUUUGGCCCAAGUUCCUGAUAGCUAUGUGCCAGUGAUAUCAUACAGCCUUAAGGCCACACAGACAUAAAGCCUGGUUAUUUUUUUAAAUGUUUUGAAGCUGAAUGGCAUCAGAUGUAGUGGAAAGAACACAGACAUCGGAGCCAGAGGUCUUGGGUACAGUUUCCUGCACUGACAUUUAAUAACUUUGUGACUGUGUGAACUUGGAAAGUUAUUUAAUCUUUCUGAAGUUCAGUUUCCUCAUCUGUAAAAUGGGGAUAAUAAAAUUUCUCUGAUAAGGUUAUUGUUAGGGUUAAACUAUUUUUAAUAUGUAAAGCAUGUGAUAUAUAAUAGGCACUAAACAAUUGCCUAUAUAAUAAUCACCAAUUUUUACUCCCUGGAUUCAAUUUCUGUUCAAAUAAAACAUUGCUUCUCCCUAAUCAGAAAACCGUACUUUGUAAGUGAAAAAAUAAAACAAAAGGAAUCACUUAGACCUUGCUUGUUAGGAUGGCCAAAAUGAUUAAUUUCAGGUUUGACAAAAUGUAACAAAUCAAAAACUCUUUCCUUUACAAAUUUAUUCCAAAAACAACCAGUGAAAAAGACAUUAUUUGCAUUUCACAGAUGAGAAAACGGAGGUUUAUGGCCAUCAGUGGCUGAGCAGGGAUCGGAGUCUCAUUCUGUCAAACUCUAAAGCCUGCGUUCUGAACCAACUCAAGCUGCCCCAGGAUAUUCCUUGGAGCCUCUAUCAACUAAUUUCACAGAUUCUUUUUUUUUCCUUUUUGCUGCUGUCAUGUUAAUGGGCAUUAUUUAAAAAGGGAUCUUACCACAGAAUUUGAUUUGGUGUCUCCUUGUUGACACCAUAUAAGAGCAAAUCUAACCACAUGUAGUGUUUUCACAAAAGUGUACCUAUCCAUCAAUUCUAGCCACAAACCUCUAAGGUCAGAAAUCUCAAAGAUUAAGCCAGAGGGAGGUGGAAUAGUCCAAACUGGUUUAGCUGCUUGAGUCUUCUCUUUUAUUUGAAAAUCACUUAAACUCUGUCAUUGACACAGUAUGAGUCCUUUCCUAAAGACAUUUUAAAAACUAACUUCUCUAUGAAAAGCAGUGAAUAGGAGGGCUGACACAAUUUUUAAAACUCUCAACAUGUGCAGCUCAUAAAAAGUAGGCAUAUGAUUAUAUAUACCUUUGAUUCAACCAGUUUCUAUUACAAGUAACCUGUGAACCCUAGAACUUAGUUAUUUUUUUUUUUAAAAAAAAGGAGGGGAAUCUCCACCUUAACCUUUUGGCCAUUUAAUCACUUAUUUAUUGAGUGGUUUCUAAGUGCCUGCUGUUGUCGCUCACUGCUUAUUAGUCCUUGUGAGAGCAAUCUUCAGUAGGAAUUAUUAGAAUUCCCAUUUUGGAGAUGAUGCUACUGAGGCUGUCAGAACUUGUCAUAUUUCUAGCCAAGAAAUUUGAACCCAGGCAGUGCUUUCAGCUAUUAUACUCGCUCCUCCCCUUUUGAAAUGGAUUCAAGGUAGUCACUCACAAAUGUGGAGAAUAAACUGAAGAAAGAAAUAAUAAGCCAAGUCCAGUCAUCUUAACAACCAUUUUUAACUGUUUCCUAGUAGUUUGGCAUAUAAAAAAAUUUCCCUCGAGAAAAUAAAACUUUAGUAGAAUAGCAUUAUUUUAAAAUUAUGUUAAGCUUUUCAGUGUGUGUUAUCAGACUCAAAUGUAUUAAAUUCCUUAUUGGAUUAGACCAGUUAACACUGGAUUUUGUCACAUUUCUACUUUUGAAUACCACAUCUAGGAAAGAAAUGUGUUAAUAUUUACUUCAUUGUGCCAAAUCAGAUUCUAUUGUAAAACUAGAUCAAAAAUGAAUCACUACACUAUAAAAUGCAAAAAUCUGUACGUGGAUUGUAAAGAGAAACAGGGACUGUUCUCAUUUUCUGGCGCAACUUCUCAACCCUCAUUAUGCUCUGUUGUAGAAAAAAUGCAUUAUUUCCGGUCAUUUAAAAGAAGUAGGGCCAUUUUUUCUAGAAAAUAAAUGGUAAUUGAAUCACUGAAAUGAUUUUGGGAAAACAGUUUCCAUACCAAUAGUGUCUAAUGUAACUCUGAAAACUCUUGGUGUUAUAAAGGAAAAAUUUGAAUUUUUCUAAUGUAAGCUUAAAUGUACCCAGUCGAAAUCCUCUCCAUUCCUUCCAUGUAAUCCUUCAAUGUUUUCUUGUCCAAAAAGUAUAACCAAACAUAGAGCCUUGAAUAUUUCUCUUUUGUCUCCAUAGCAUUUUAUCCAUAGCUCUCUCUAUUUCUAAGACCAUAAUUUCUAUUAAUGUGAUAAUCAUAGUGGUAUUCUGUCACUUUCAAUCGCCUAGCUGAAACUACUCAGUGAAACUCUGAGGGAAUUCCUAUUUUGAAGAAACUGCAAAU
Molecule: long non-coding RNA, 3369 nt
Filed under: Homo sapiens (human)
Lineage: Eukaryota; Metazoa; Chordata; Mammalia; Primates; Hominidae
Description: HSALNT0321797
Source: RNAcentral